UACGGGGGGAGCAAGCGUUGUUCGGAUUUACUGGGCGUAAAGGGCGCGUAGGCGGUCAGCACAAGUCAGUUGUGAAAUCUCCGGGCUUAACCCGGAGAGGUCAACUGAUACUGUGCGACUAGAGUGCGGAAGGGGCAACUGGAAUUCUCGGUGUAGCGGUGAAAUGCGUAGAUAUCGAGAGGAACACCUGCGGCGAAGGCGGGUUGCUGGGCCGACACUGACGCUGAUGCGCGAAAGCCAGGGGAGCGAACGGG
RNAcentral lists this ribosomal RNA (254 nucleotides) under uncultured bacterium. Its description in RNAcentral is "partial 16S ribosomal RNA". It matches the Rfam family "Bacterial small subunit ribosomal RNA", at positions 524 to 776 of the family's 1533-position model. The record is from RNAcentral.